GUAAAGGCCCUUUUCAGGGCCACACACAAUUUGAUUCCUAUGAUUU
Molecule: regulatory RNA element, 46 nt
Organism: Schistosoma mansoni
Lineage: Eukaryota; Metazoa; Platyhelminthes; Trematoda; Strigeidida; Schistosomatidae
Rfam family: Histone 3' UTR stem-loop
About the family: The mRNAs of metazoan histone genes lack a poly-A tail. 3' end processing occurs at a site between a highly conserved stem-loop (modelled by this family) and a purine rich region around 20 nts downstream (the histone downstream element, or HDE).
Source: Rfam